Molecule: non-coding RNA, 760 nt
Filed under: Scolytinae sp. BMNH 1040327
Lineage: Eukaryota; Metazoa; Arthropoda; Insecta; Coleoptera; Curculionidae
Source: RNAcentral
UAAAAGUAUUUAGGCUUUGUUUUAGGAUAAAAAUUUAAUUUAAAUGUAAAUUUUAGUUUGAGUUAUAAGAUGUUUAAAUAAUGUAUUUUAUUAGAGUUACAAUAGAUAAUAUUAUAUAUUUGGGCAUUCAAGAUAUGGUAAUUUUUUUUAGUACGAACUAAAUUUGUGCCAGCAGUUGCGGUUACACAGAUUGUACGAUUUUAAAUUUUUGAGGGCAGUUAGAAUCUUUAUUGAGCUGAAAGUGGGACUUUUUAGGUGAAAUUUUAAGUUUUUGGUUGCUUUGUGGUUGAGGCUGAUAAAUUUAAUAAAAGACUAGGAUUAGAUACCCUAUUAUAUAAACGUGAAGUUGGUCCUCUAAUUAGUAUUAGUUACUUUCUUGAAAAUUAAUAAAGUUGGCGGUAUUUUAGUCUAUUCAGAGGAACCUGUUCUGUAAUUGAUAGUCCACGAUUUGAUAUACUUAUUUUUUUAGUUUGCGUAUGGCUGUAGGUUGAAUAUUUUUGUUGAAUUAUAAUAUUCAAAAUUUAUAUUUAAAUUAAAUCAGGUCAAUAUGUAGUUUAUAGAUAAGGAGAAAUGGGUUACAUUUAAUUUAUUAAUGGAUUUUAUGUUUUAAUAUAUAGAUUAAAUUGGAUUUGAGAGUAAACUUAUUAAAUAUUUAGGUUGAUUAGAGCUCUAAAAUAUGUACAUAUCGCCCGUCGCUUUCGCUUUAAAGUGGAAUAAGUCGUAACAUAGUAGAUGUACUGGAAAGUGCCUCUAGAAAGCA